UUAGUUUUACUGUCACAAAACAGCACAGGUGGGGGAUAUUUGAAGUAGCCAGUUGUUGCUGGAGGGAGAAGGAGCCAGUCAGAGCGCACGACGAGACGUGGCCGGUAGCAAUCAGUCAACGAGGGUAAUAUCCCGGUGUGAGCCAGCGCACGGGCAUACAGAGCGAGAGGAGGGCACCCGUCCCGGACACUUUACAUUAGGCUGGCUACCUCCUGUGUUACAAAUUCAUAUAUGAAGAAAAGCAAUCAGGUGGUCCUGAAUGGAAAUUUGUAGAAUUUCUUUACAACUGCAAAAAGGCGAAUAAAACGAGAGUACUGGUGAGAGAGACGGUUGUGAGGCUGAGGCAGGCUGUGAUGCAUGGAGGAGGAGGCAGAGGAGACAGAGAGAGACAGGUUCCAUGACUUUAUGGAGACAUUUUCAUUUGUAAUUCCGGAGAUUUUUCUUCCCAUUCUUUCCAAGAAGUGACGCAACAUCAACACUCCCAGUAAACUGGACACAGGAAUAUUUGUUGUGUUACAAGAGCUACGCCAGAGCACCCAGACAGACCAAGUCUCAACGAACAGGUUACUGAUUACAUGGUUUUAUUAUGGGUUUUCAUUGAGCUAUUGUAAAUGAAGAUGAAAACCAUUGAGGGUUAGAGACGGUUGGCAAGGACACAGGAGAGGCCUCAUGGGAGGAACAAAACGGGAUAAGAAACCAGACGGGAUAAGAAACCAGACGGGAUAAGAAACCAGACGGGAUAAGAAAUGUGACGACUGACUGAGCAAAAGAAGAAUACGUCAGAGAAAGAAGGAAAGAGAGAAGGAUUGUGUGUUCUCUACUUUCUCAGAAGUGCAGCCCCUAAAUUCCUGUUACUAUGCCUGAGAGAGGGAGCGCAGCAGACCAGUCAAAAUGAACCCCUACGUCACCUCUCACUUUAGGAGGGAUCUCUUUCCCCACUUCCACUUGUUGUAGAGGCUUCUCUUCUCCCCUCUCUUACUGUUUGUGUGACAUGACAACACCUGUCUCUGUGUAAACCUAAGACAGUAGGUAACACCUGUCUCUGUGUAAACCUAGGACAGUAGGUAACACCUGUCUCUGUGUAAACCUAGGACAGUAGGUAACACCUGUCUCUGUGUAAACCUAGGACAGUAGGUAACACCUGUCUCUGUGUAAACCUAGGACAGUAGGUAACACCUAUCUCUGUGUAAACCUAGGACAGUAGGUAACACCUGUCUCUGUGUAAACCUAGGACAGUAGGUAACACCUGUCUCUGUGUAAACCUAGGACAGUAGAUAACACCUGUCUCUGUGUAAACCUAGGACAAUAGGUAACACCUGUCUCUGUGUAAACCUAGGACAGUAGGUAACACCUGUCUCUGUGUAAACCUAGGACACCAGGUAACACCUGUCUCUGUGUAAACCUAGGACAACAGGUAACACCUGUCUCUGUGUAAACCUAGGACAGUAGGUAACACCUGUCUCUGUGUAAACCUAGGA
Molecule: long non-coding RNA, 1478 nt
Organism: Oncorhynchus tshawytscha (Chinook salmon)
Lineage: Eukaryota; Metazoa; Chordata; Actinopteri; Salmoniformes; Salmonidae
Exons: 4
Source: RefSeq, a predicted model, not a curated record